UUUUCUUUUUUAGAUUAACUAGUUACAAGAGCAGAGGGGGAACUAAAUUUUGAAAUUUAACGGAAAAACGCACACAGUUUAAGAUACAUUUCGAAUAAAUCGAACCAUAGCUGGCAACACAAAUUGGAGACUUUUAAUAGUAUGGUUUACAGAUUAAUUAAUAUUCCUAUGAAUAAAAUAGAUUUUGAUAAAGAACUGAGCGUUAUAAGAGAAAUAGCUAAAUUUAAUGGGUAUGACGAAAAAAUAAUUUCAAAAUUAGUCCGAACACAAAAGUGGAAUAAAUAAAGGAAGGCAGCUAGUACACUAAUUAAUGUGGGGAAACAAAAAGUAAUUAGAUAUCACCCAAUUGAUAUUAUCCGGGCAUCCAAAAUGGACGAGCAAGGAUUUUUAAAAAUUUUGGUAUUAAUUUAGAAACAUCUAGGAAUAAUAAUUUAAGGGAUUUAGUAGGUAAUCCUAAAUAUAAGGUAGAAGAAGGGGGUAAAUCAGGCAUUUAUAAAAUACAAUGUGAAAGUUGUAAUAAAUGUUACGUAGGGCAAACAAAAAGAAGUAUAGGGGUCAGGAUUAAAGAGCACUUAACAUUAAAAAUCAAGUACUCGAGAAAUCUCCAGUGGCUGAAAAUUUAUUGACAUAAUCACUUCAUUAAAACCAUAAAAUUAAUUAAAAACGUAAAUAAUUACAAAGAACUUAAGGAAGUCAAUAGAAAUGUAUAAAAAUAAAAACAAUUUAAUUAAUUGGGAUCUUGGCCUACUGAACAAUUCAUUAUUAAACUUGUGUAAAAACUGGCAAAAUGUGAUCAUAUUAUUCAGUGAUGACGUGACUAGUAGAUAAGGUCACUAGGAAUAUAUAAGGGAGUUUUUUCUAGUCGAGAUUUCAGUGUGUGUUUAGAGUUGAUUGUACGGUAACAUUGUUUAAACAAUGUUUCAAACAUUUCGGAAACAAUUGUUUCCGAAAUACGUAUACACGAUUUUUCAGUAUUUUUUUGUGCCUUUUUGAGUUUAAUGUUUUUUAGUUUUUAAAUUAAUAAUAUUUUUAAUAUAGUUUUAAUUUUAUUUAAUUAAUUAGCCACAAGUGAUCUUUUUUUAUAUAUUAUUUAAAGUUUUGAAAAUACUACAUAAGUUAUUUUGUUUGCUUAGUUUUAUCAAAAUGUGAUUUGUCAAUCACAUAGCAAGGGUCUUCGUUAUUAUUAGCUUUGCAAACAUGCAAAAUUGUUUUAAGUGUUUCCGCAAUAUUCAGAAAAGCAUUCUGCUCAAGUAUUGAACAUGUUGAAUUUAAACUUAAAAUGAUGUUUAAAGAGCAUCGUUUUAAUUAUAAAAUUACAAAUAAUCAAUAAAUAUUCAGAAUUUUUCAUAUAAAAUGAUAAUUUAUUAAAAAAUUACAUUUAUAAUUAUAUUUUCAUAUUAUUCGUAUAGACCAUCAACAUUGAGAGCUUAGUAUAUUAUAUAGACGAACACACAAAAAAAAAACAUAUAUGUGAUAUAGUUGUUUCUGAUGUGGUUAAAUCUAUACUUUAGGGAAUAAAUUAAUUUACAAAAAUAAAUAAUAAUUAGUAGUAUACUUUAGUGUGUAUAUAAUAUAUCCCCAUUAAAAAAAAUUAAAUAUUCUAAAAUUG
This is a long non-coding RNA of Daktulosphaira vitifoliae (grape phylloxera), 1609 nucleotides long. RefSeq lists it as uncharacterized. The transcript has 3 exons. NCBI's taxonomy places the organism in Eukaryota, Metazoa, Arthropoda, Insecta, Hemiptera, Phylloxeridae. The record is from RefSeq and is a predicted model, not a curated record.